This 1473-nucleotide ribosomal RNA is filed under the name Triticum aestivum (bread wheat). RNAcentral describes it as "partial small subunit ribosomal RNA". The record is from RNAcentral. Lineage: Eukaryota; Viridiplantae; Streptophyta; Magnoliopsida; Poales; Poaceae.
AUGUGGACCUGUCUUCGUCAGCGCUAUGAGCCCUCUGGUGAUGCCUUAUACCUUUCUGUGGUUCGUCUGGAGCAUGCUCUUCAGCAGGGUGACUCUACUGUUGAUGACUUUUAUGCACAUAGUUCUGCUAUCUGGCGCCAGCUUGAUUCUCUCCGCAGUGCUGGUUGUCGUACUUGCCCCUGCUGCCAGGCUGUCCAGGCCGAUUUGGAGUUUCAUCGCGUCUACGAGUUCCUGUCUCGGCUCCGUAAGGAGUUUGAGCCCCGACAUGCUCAGUUGUUUGCUCGUGGCCGUAUUUCUCUCAUGGAGGCGCUUUCAGAGAUUCGUGCUGAGGAGACUCGCCUACGUGGUGCUGGUUUGCUGGAGGUUCCCUCUGUGCUCGCUACUCGGGCUUCUUCCACUCCACCUGCUGCACCGCCCCAUUCUCGCUCGAGUGCUCCGCCGCUCUUGCCCACUCCUUCUGGAGGCUCAGGUCGCCCCCGUCCACACUGUGACUACUGCAACAAUGAUGGUCAUAUUGAGUCCCAGUGCUACACCAAGCGGAAACACCUGCGCAAGGCGCGAUCAUCCUCCUCGGGGACUUCGUCAUCUCCCUCGCCAGCUUCAGCCAUUGCUUUGACUGAGCAGGAUAUUCUGAGACUUAAGCGUCUGCUCGCGGCUUCAGGUUCUUCCUCGACGGGUACUGCUGGUUCUGUGACUGAUGCUUCCCGCACUGAGCACCCGUCCUCUACACAGUCAGGUACAUCCCCAUGGGUUCUGGACUCUGGAGCUUCUUUUCAUAUGUCUUCUCAUUCUUCCGCUUUGUCCUCUCUUCGAUCGCUGGAUUCUCCUGUUCAUGUCUCCACUGCUGAUGGUACUCCACUUUCUGUUGCUAGUAGAGGCCAUCUUUCCACUCCUUCUUAUUCUGUUCCUGAUGUUGCUCAUGUUCCUCGACUUACCAUGAAUCUGUUUUCUGCUGGUCAACUUACUGAUUCUGGUUGUCGUGUCAUCCUUGAUGUUGACUCUUGUUCUGUCCAGGAUCGUCGCACGCACACUCUGGUUGGGGCUGGCCCUCGCCGCCGUGAUUCUCAGGGUCUUUGGGAGUUGGACUGGCUUCAUGUUCCUUCCGCUGCCACCACCAUCGCCAGUCCCUCCGCUGCUGUCGCCUCUGUUACUGGUUCCUUCAAGCAGUGGCAUCAUCGACUUGGUCAUCUGUGUGGUUCUCGGUUAUCGUCUUUAGUUCGUCGAGGUCUUCUGGGGUCUGUCUCAGGAGAUGUCUCUUUAAAGUGUCAGGGUUGUCGUCUUGGCAAGCAGAUUCAAUUACCAUAUUCACAUAGUGAGUCAGUGUCUAAGCGUCCUUUCGAUUUAGUCCAUUCUGAUGUAUGGGGUCCGGCUCCUUUCGCUUCGAAAGGUGGUCAUAAAUACUAUAUUAUUUUCAUCGAUGAUUUUUCUCGUUACACAUGGCUUUAUUUCAUGACUUCACGUAGUGAGGUGUAG